This 86-nucleotide transfer RNA is filed under the name Steccherinum ochraceum. It matches the Rfam family "tRNA". Rfam says of the family: Transfer RNA (tRNA) molecules are approximately 80 nucleotides in length. Their secondary structure includes four short double-helical elements and three loops (D, anti-codon, and T loops). Further hydrogen bonds mediate the characteristic L-shaped molecular structure. tRNAs have two regions of fundamental functional importance: the anti-codon, which is responsible for specific mRNA codon recognition, and the 3' end, to which the tRNAs corresponding amino acid is attached (by aminoacyl-tRNA synthetases). tRNAs cope with the degeneracy of the genetic code in two manners: having more than one tRNA (with a specific anti-codon) for a particular amino acid; and 'wobble' base-pairing, i.e. permitting non-standard base-pairing at the 3rd anti-codon position. The record is from Rfam by way of RNAcentral. Lineage: Eukaryota; Fungi; Basidiomycota; Agaricomycetes; Polyporales; Steccherinaceae.
GGGCAUUUGGCACAGUGGUAGCGCGCACGCUUCGCAUGUGCUUCAUUGCCUGCGUGAGGUCCAGGGUUCAACUCCCUGAAUGUCCA